Molecule: long non-coding RNA, 294 nt
Organism: Diorhabda sublineata
Lineage: Eukaryota; Metazoa; Arthropoda; Insecta; Coleoptera; Chrysomelidae
Exons: 3
Source: RefSeq, a predicted model, not a curated record
GUUUCCCUGUAAAUAAACAAAAAUUAGCAAAAUUUGAUUACAUGUAUGUAGUUACAAAAUAUUACAAACGUUAAGUAAAUAAUUCAAUCCAUUAUUAUUUCGGAAAUGACGUUACAGCUCACAGGCAUAUAUAACGGAAACAAGUUGAUAACUGAGUCCAUCGCAGUUAAUGACAGAAGGAGGAUGAUUGUGUUCUCCGGUGAUUCUAGCUACUGCUCCUUGUGUCAAGUUCUCAGUUUGGCGGGACAUUUGGUUUUGUAAUAUGAAACGCAUUUCCAAGACGACGAAUCCGGU